AACAAACGCUGGCGGCGUGCCUAACACAUGCAAGUCGAACGCGAAAGGGACUUCGGUCCUGAGUAAAGUGGCGCACGGGUGAGUAACGCGUGGGUAAUCUGCCCCUCAGUUGGGAAUAACCCAUCGAAAGGUGGGCUAAUACCGAAUAAUGCUGUAUCGCCUCGGUGAUCCAGCCAAAGACGGCCUCUGCUUGCAAGCUGUCGCUGAGAGAUGAGCCCGCGUACCAUUAGCUUGUUGGUGGGGUAAUGGCCUACCAAGGCGACGAUGGUUAGCUGAUCUGAGAGGAUGAUCAGCCACACUGGAACUGAGACACGGUCCAGACUCCUACGGGAGGCAGCAGUGAGGAAUCUUGCGCAAUGGGGGAAACCCUGACGCAGCAACGCCGCGUGAGUGAGGAAGGCC
RNAcentral lists this ribosomal RNA (402 nucleotides) under uncultured bacterium. RNAcentral describes it as "bacterial SSU rRNA". It matches the Rfam family "Bacterial small subunit ribosomal RNA", at positions 29 to 416 of the family's 1533-position model. The record is from RNAcentral.